AAACCUAUUCAAGUAGUUUACUUGGAAGUGAAGGAAGAAUACUUUUUAAAUAAAGAGUUCUCCUUUGAAAUUGAUUAGCAGAUGGUAUAAAAUCCUGACGUUGCAAGAUUUUUUAUCUUUCGAAGGUGAUUUUAUUAUCUUGCUUCAAAUCCAUUUAUUGGCAUAUAUAUUAUAGUUAUGUUUGUUUUACAAAUAUACUAAAUAUUGUUGACAGUAAAUAAUUUAUUUAUA
This 231-nucleotide unclassified non-coding RNA is filed under the name uncultured Pezizales. Its description in RNAcentral is "sequence contains ITS2". Lineage: Eukaryota; Fungi; Ascomycota; Pezizomycetes; Pezizales. The record is from RNAcentral.